This is a long non-coding RNA of Gallus gallus (chicken), 1269 nucleotides long. Lineage: Eukaryota; Metazoa; Chordata; Aves; Galliformes; Phasianidae. The record is from Ensembl.
UUACUGUUCCUUGUGCUCUGUUUCCUUCACUACAUUGCUUUGUUUUAUCCCUCUGUGGUGCCCAGUUCUUCUUCUGCUUCUCAAUUCUCUAUUCAGCUUUGAGCCUUUCACCCUGUGGGAGAACAGUCAGCAACGAGGAGUCUAUGAACAAGUGAGCUGCUAUUCAACCUGAAUGCUCUGUCUUCUCCAGAACAAGGUGUGGUUACCGAGAAUUUCAACAAUACCGAGCAAUAGAUACCCACUUAUUUAACUAGCUGCUCACUCGCUGCAUUCCUGGGUCUGAGAACAGUUGGAUAAGAGUCUAUGCACAUUGAAAUAACAAAUCUGAUAGCUGCAGAAGAGUUCUUUUGACAGCCGGACUCCACCAGAGAAUCUACAGAUGGACAAGGGAUUGGUAAAACUCGGUGUUGCCCCACUGGGAUGUGUGAGACUCCUUAGAGUGUUUGUAUUCUACAUGUUAUUCUUUGCCUUGGAGCACUCGGGAAAAGGCCAUGAUGAUGGCUGUGAGUGUAACAAUGAUCCUGCAUGACCUGCGAUCACUCAAAGAGCAUGCUCCUAGAACUAUCAUCUAUCAUGAAAAAGUAAUGGCAUUCUGAGGACAAGAGAUAAACUAAGGGAAUGAACACAAACCACCCUCAGCAGAAAGAUAAAAUGUCAAUUAUCUGUUACUGUCUCCCACUCCAUCCCCUUACAAUGCUAAAUUCUAACGUUUAAGAAAGCAAACACUUGUUUCAUUUCUCAAUUUUAUGCCAGUCCCAACAAUACUGUACUCUGAUUGUUGAUGUUCACAAGUAGCUUGUUCCACAUUUCAAGAUUUUUCUCACGUAGGCUAGGCUGGAGCUUGUCAGUGCGUGUUGUCACUGCAGAACCAGCUCGGCAUCUUUGGGAGGAUGUUUUGGAAUGUACAACUUGUUAUGCACAUGGGUAGUGUUCAUAUCAGCAACCAGCCUGAUGCAUAGACCUUAAGGGUAGUAGAAGGCCCAAGACUCCAACAAGGAAAGGUUAGUUUAGUGUGAAAGUAAUCUGGAAGGCAAUGUGGCUUCCAGAUUGCCCAGGGCUCAGCAGCCAAUGAAUAAAAAAUGGACCAAGCACAGAAGGAAGCUGAAGAAGCUUGGGCACAGAGUAAUAUCUCAUCUGAAGGAUAUUCUGCUGCUGUUGCUCUGCCUAUGCCAAUGUAAUCCUCAAGCUCUGUGAGAGACUUUUCAUGCUCAUGUAGUGUCUUCAGAGUUAAUACUUCUGGAUUCAAAAUUGGAACUAAGUAAAACCAGG